UACGUAGGGUGCAAGCGUUAAUCGGAAUUACUGGGCGUAAAGCGCGCGUAGGUGGUUUGUUAAGUUGAAUGUGAAAUCCCCGGGCUCAACCUGGGAACUGCAUCCAAAACUGGCAAGCUAGAGUAGGGCAGAGGGUGGUGGAAUUUCCUGUGUAGCGGUGAAAUGCGUAGAUAUAGGAAGGAACACCAGUGGCGAAGGCGACCACCUGGGCUCAUACUGACACUGAGGUGCGAAAGCGUGGGGAGCAAACAGG
RNAcentral lists this ribosomal RNA (253 nucleotides) under uncultured bacterium. RNAcentral's name for it is "partial 16S ribosomal RNA". It matches the Rfam family "Bacterial small subunit ribosomal RNA", at positions 524 to 776 of the family's 1533-position model. The record is from RNAcentral.